AACCUAAGAAACUCUGCAGUCUCAUAGAAACCGAUCCCCCAAAUCUGACUCACUCGCUCUCUCUCUCUCUCUCUAGGUCCUUCAGCUCCUUCAACUCCAUUCAACCUUCUUCAGCUCGAUGAUUCAUCAUUCGGUCGAUCCAAUCUCAGAAUGAUUUUGAUUUCGAAGCUCCACCGCCACCGCAACCACCAUCUGCAUCGUCUACUAACCAUCUGCACAAUUUCGAUUUCAAUCCAAUCUCAGUUUCAUCGAUUCUUCUCUCUCUCUCUCUCUCUCUCUCUCUCUCUCUCUUCCUUCGGUCGAUUCUUCUCCUAGGGUUUACAAUCUUGAAUCUCCUCCUAGGGUUUGGAUCAACUCUCCUCUUGCCUGACUUGCCCCUUGCGAUUUAAUGCAGUAAAUUCUCUCUCUGCUCAUGAAGUUCAUAUUUAAUUAUAAAUUUGUUGUGAGAGAUUUGAAUUUGAAUCCAUGUGUUCAUUCGAAUAUGAAUUUAUAGUUAUCACAUCGUGAAUUCAAUCUGUAAUGCUAUGAUGUUGAACUUGAGUGAUUGCUUCCUCAUGAAUUUGUUGAUACAAUAUUAGCAUUUUAGCAUUGUUCAAUUUUAACUACCUUUGAUGUUUGCUCUAAGUUUAUAUUGCAAGGCUUCCUAUUCUUGACCAAAACAAUGUAGACAGAUUUUCAUAGCAGUUUAUAUUGCUCAUUCUGUGUUUUUGCUAUUAGUGGAUGCAGAAUUUAUUCUUUGUGAAACAGGGGCCUUUACCUUUAUGAUUUUUCUUUGUUCCAGCUGUUCAUCUUUAUGUAUGGUAUCCAUCUUCAUAUACCCCUUUUCCCUCAUCUAUAUUUGCUUUUAUUUUAUGGUGUAUGCUUUUUGUACAUAGUUUAAUUUAUAGGGACUAGUUUUUUUUUAAAUUUUGAGUCUUCAUUGUAAUAACACCUAUCAGGUUAUGGUUAAUAUACACUACAGGCAAUGAGUUAAUAACAGUUUAUGCUUAUUUAGACAAAUCACAUAACAUAAAUAUAAAUUGGUGUGAAUUUUUUGUACAUCAUAUCCAACAUGAACAAUAUACAAAGUGCAAUAAGAAAUGAUGUAAGUUAAGUUUUGUUUUUAAUGUUAUGAUAUCUUGUUAAGUUAAGUUUGUGUGUAUUAGCUAUGUGUGUAUAUAUCUUUGUGUGUUCAAGAGUAUUUGUGUCACACCAUGUUCCUCCCCCCUUUUCUCUCUCCUCCUCCUAGUAGCUAUUCCGGCAACUCCUCUCCCUCCGUCCACUGCCAGAUUCAGGGAUCCGACCCUCUCCACCCUAACGCUCGCAUGCUCCUCUAUGACGAUCUCCUUCUCAACGGGUAAUAAAUCUUCACAUCUUCUCCGAUCUCUUUCAUAUGUAAUUCAAUGGAAUUAAAAAUUGGUGUUGUUGCAAUUCCCUGCUCUAGAAAUAUGAAAUUGGUGUUGUAAGGAGAUAUUGUUAAUUUACCCUUAAAUUUAUUUAUUGAAAUAUGAGCAAAUUAAUCAGGAGCACUAGAAAAUGCUCACAAAUAUUAAGCAUACUUUAGAAUACAUUUGAGAGCCUUGUGAGCUUUAUUUGGUCUGCUUGGACUCAUCUCUAACCUACAAUGCAUUGGUCAUCAAAUUAUUGGACAAACUGAAUUGAAAGUUGCAUCAGUAAAGCUAUUAAGCAUUCUCAGUGUUCACUGAAAUGCCACAAUGAGUCAUUGGAAGAGUUUCAAAGGUUGCCAUUGAAACUGCUAUUGCUGAUGUUAAUGCUGAUCCAAGCAUUCUUAAUGGGACUCAGCUGAAACUAAUCAUGGAGGACACAGGUUGCAAUGUUUUCUUGGGGUCUGUUAAAGGUAUUUUCAUGUUCACCUGUGUUGUCCCCCUUUGUUUUCUAUAUCAGGUUCAGCUCUUAAUUUGACUCUGCCAUGUCUGUUAUGAUGGAAAGUUCUCAUAUUGUCUUAAUUUUUCUUCUUUAAAUAUUUGAUAGAAAACAAUAAACGUUAUAUUAAGUAAUAAGAAUUGGGGAGAGGUCCUAAAUGCUUGUUUCUUCAGAAAAAGUGCCAAAAGAGUGAAACAAAUCCUAUAACCUGUAAAACCUUGAAAAGAAUACAAAGACAGCCUCUUGAUUUUGAUAUACAUGUAAGACAAUACUGUCCUUUCUGCUAAACAAGUUAUGAAGGCACAUCUCUAGAAAGCUAUCUACAGAUGUUCGAUAGAGUUCACAUGUGCAAAUAUUCUUUAUUUUUAGUUAUACCUUUAAUUUUUAUUUUUUUCGGAAUAUCCAUUUAUUGGUAAACAUUGCCUGAUAAGUCAGAUGUGAUAUACGUGGUUGAUACACAACAUAUUACAUGCAUAAGAUUUGCAUCACUAUGGCUUUACUCGAGGCGAAAUUGGGUUACGGGACUGUUACCUUGAGAAUAAUACAAGGGAUUUUUUCAUUCCCCUCACAUUCCUAAUGUUUCUGGGGUUGAUUAGCUGUUUUGGUUCUACUAAGAAAGGCUGGUAGAACGAUAUCUUGCCAGCCUUAGGUUGAACUCAAGCAUCUUGAACCAUCUGUUCAAGUGAUGGGCGUUUCCGCAAUAUGGUUUUAUUGGCACGUUCUUAUAACAGAUCAAUAGAUGAUGAUGCUGUGAGGAAACUAUGCACUAAUUUGAUGUAUCAAUUUUUGCAUGCAGGUCAAGGAAUUGGGCAAAACACAUGGUAUCAAUGAUUCAAAGUCUGGAACUUAAAUUCAUACUGUCUCAGCAUGCUUAUUAUUGUCCAUUUUCAGGUGAUUUUGCCUAUAAUUAUGGUUGUUGACUUCUUCUUGUUAUUGCUAUUGCUUUGUUGUUAUAUAUUUUUAAUUGAAAAUAAAUUGAGGAUUCUUCUUUAAUAUUUCAUCGACUGGAAAUAUUCUAAGAUCUUUGAAGUUGACUAAUUCGCUGAAAGUAAAUUCUACAACCUGUAAAACUUAUAUACAGGAGAAAAUAGUGAACCAUCCCAUCAAAUUGUAUAGUCCUGUUUUUAAGGUGAUCUUAAAGUAUUAUUUGUGUUCCAGUGAUCAUAGUGUGCUCUAUAUUUGUGUCACUUUGUAACUAUAAAUUUUUAGCUUAAUGCAAUCGCAUCUUCUGUGUCUGUUUUCUCCAUUAUAUUAAUAUCCUUUUAUGUCUUUUAAUUAUCCAUUUUUUAUUUCUGAUUUGGAGCAACCAAGAUCUCCACCUUUUUUCUCUGUGCUUCAUCUUUUUCUUCUCCUGCAGACAUUUGUACCUCCACUUUUACCUCCUCUUAAAGAAAUCUACCCAGGAAAUAUAGUUGAUGACCUGAUAGGUGUGAGGGCUGUUGCAGAGAGAUAUAUUGAAUAAAUAUGUGCUGAGAAUAUAAACAAGUUUAGAUCGGAUAAGUCCAGAAAAAUAAAUAGAAGUUCUUUGUCUGAGCUUUUCAUUUCAUUCCUCAAAAAUUUUGCUGACAUUAGUUCUAGGGCCUCAGAAAAAGGAAUCUGCCCAUAUACUGGACAAUGGGAACAAAUUGAUACCAAUAUGAGAUGGCUGCCCAAAACUUGUGCACUAUUUGUUGAGGACCCUUUUGAGCAACCAGUUAACAUGGCUAGGACUGUUGGCAUUAGACAUCUAACGAGGAUAUCAGAAGCAUUUCAGGGAACCCACUAUGCACUUAUGUAUGGAAUUAAAUUAUGUAAGACAUCUAACGAGGAUAUUGGAUAUUAAAUUUGGUUAAUCCUCUAUUAUGUAUGGAAUUAAAU
Molecule: non-coding RNA, 3720 nt
Organism: Camellia sinensis
Lineage: Eukaryota; Viridiplantae; Streptophyta; Magnoliopsida; Ericales; Theaceae
Source: RefSeq, a predicted model, not a curated record